GGAGUUGUGGCUUAGCGGUAGAGCGCUUGCCUCAUAUGUGUGAGGCACUGGGUUCAAUUCCUAGCACCA
Molecule: transfer RNA, 69 nt
Filed under: Ictidomys tridecemlineatus (thirteen-lined ground squirrel)
Lineage: Eukaryota; Metazoa; Chordata; Mammalia; Rodentia; Sciuridae
Also listed under: 1 other name
Description: Spermophilus tridecemlineatus (thirteen-lined ground squirrel) tRNA
Rfam family: tRNA
About the family: Transfer RNA (tRNA) molecules are approximately 80 nucleotides in length.
Source: Rfam by way of RNAcentral